GACGAACGCUGGCGGCGUGCCUAACACAUGCAAGUCGAACGAGACCUUCGUGCCUAUUGGCGCACGGGGGCGUGACGACUGGGGAGCUACCCGUGAGUUACCUAUACCUCCCCGAGGGGGGUGCUAAUACCGGUUAAUCUCUUACGACCAAAGAUUUAUCGCCUUUGGAUGGGCCCGGGUUGGAUUAGCUAGUUGGUAGGGUAAAAGCCUACCAUGGGGACGUUCCUUAGCUGGUGGGUGAGGAAGAUCAGCAACGCUGGGACUGCGACACGGCCCAGAACCGUACGGAGGGGAGGAGUGGGGAAUAUUGGAGGAUGGGCGAAAGCCUGAUCCAGCAACGCCGCGUGAGUGAUGAAGGCGUUAGGGUUGUAAAGCUCUUUUACCCGGGAUGAUAAUGACGGUACCGGGAGAAUAAGCACCGGCUAACUACGUG
This 433-nucleotide ribosomal RNA is filed under the name uncultured bacterium. Its description in RNAcentral is "partial 16S ribosomal RNA". It matches the Rfam family "Bacterial small subunit ribosomal RNA", at positions 28 to 507 of the family's 1533-position model. The record is from RNAcentral.